Molecule: small RNA, 18 nt
Filed under: Arabidopsis thaliana (thale cress)
Lineage: Eukaryota; Viridiplantae; Streptophyta; Magnoliopsida; Brassicales; Brassicaceae
Description: ATSL057100
Source: RNAcentral
AAAAAAAAACGAAAAAAA